RNAcentral lists this ribosomal RNA (255 nucleotides) under uncultured bacterium. RNAcentral's name for it is "partial 16S ribosomal RNA". It matches the Rfam family "Bacterial small subunit ribosomal RNA", at positions 524 to 776 of the family's 1533-position model. The record is from RNAcentral.
UACGGAGGGUGCGAGCGUUGUCCGGAAUCAUUGGGCGUAAAGGGCGCGUAGGUGGCCCGGUCAGUCCGUGGUGAAAGCGCGGGGCUCAACCCUGCGUCGGCCAUGGAUACUGCCGCGGCUGGAGCACUGUAGAGGCAGGCGGAAUUCCGGGUGUAGCGGUGGAAUGCGUAGAGAUCCGGAAGAACACCGGUGGCGAAGGCGGCCUGCUGGGCAGUUUGCUGACACUGAGGCACGAAGGCCAGGGGAGCGAACGGG